UCUGCAGCCAUUCCACCCUGAGUGCACCUGCUCCAGUCUGAUUUCAGAAGCUAAGUGGGGCCAAGUUUGAUUUGUGCUUGGAUGGGAUUAGUGGUUUUCUACAUCUGCAUUUGGGCAUGCAGAUCACUGCCAUAA
Molecule: ribosomal RNA, 135 nt
Filed under: Microtus ochrogaster (prairie vole)
Lineage: Eukaryota; Metazoa; Chordata; Mammalia; Rodentia; Cricetidae
Source: RNAcentral